UACGAAGGGUGCAAGCGUUAAUCGGAAUUACUGGGCGUAAAGGGUGCGUAGGCGGUUUGUUAAGUCUGUUGUGAAAUCCCCGGGCUCAACCUGGGAAUGGCAAUGGAUACUGGCAAGCUAGAGUGUGUCAGAGGAUGGUGGAAUUCCCGGUGUAGCGGUGAAAUGCGUAGAGAUCGGGAGGAACAUCAGUGGCGAAGGCGGCUCACUGGACCGUAACUGACGCUCAUGCACGAUAGCGUGGGGAGCAAACAGG
This 253-nucleotide ribosomal RNA is filed under the name uncultured bacterium. RNAcentral's name for it is "partial 16S ribosomal RNA". It matches the Rfam family "Bacterial small subunit ribosomal RNA", at positions 524 to 776 of the family's 1533-position model. The record is from RNAcentral.